This is a long non-coding RNA of Epinephelus moara (kelp grouper), 2895 nucleotides long. RefSeq lists it as uncharacterized. The record is from RefSeq and is a predicted model, not a curated record. The transcript is spliced from 2 exons. NCBI's taxonomy places the organism in Eukaryota, Metazoa, Chordata, Actinopteri, Perciformes, Serranidae.
UACCAACAUGUAGUUAAUGUGUUGCUUUUAAAUUUGAGGAUGUUUGACAUUGAUGUGCGACAUAAAGAAUCACAUUUAUUAAAGGUGGAGGCAAAAAGGAGUAUGUGCCAGUGCCAUCUUGCGCAAUUACGCACGAGGGUCACCGCAGUAUUUAUAUGUUUAUGGCAAUUAGUCUGAUCAGACACCCGGCCUGAAUUACAGCAUGAACCAGUGGUAUCCCUGUCCCAAAAUACAACGUGUAAUUUGAAAUACAAUUCAAAGAUGAAAGUGUAAUAGGCGAACACGUUUCUUCAUGCCGGUUUUGUCAUGAACAGCACAUGUCUAAGUAGGGCUGAUGAAAUGAGUGUAACGGUUGUGCUUAAUGGCUGUAUUUCGAGACAUGAUAAAUGCACUGGAAAUAUUUAGCUAAAUAAAUAAAUAUAUUCCAUGCAGUCGCGCCAUCCUCUCCCCCUCCUGCGCUCACAGAGUGGACAAUGAGACGUUAGAGGCAGUGCGGAUUAAAUACGUAUUUAGAAAGAAUUUCAAUUCAGGAUUUGAGUUGGAUUUUACAACGUUUUUAUGAAACAAUUAUCACUCACUCCAAGCGCAAAAUAAGGCUGCUGGAUUUAAUUUCAAUGAUAACGUGGAUCUAAGGUGGAUAUAGCGUGACAUUAAAUUUGUGUGAGACAUCAAUAAAAAUCUGACUCCACUUCUCCAACUCACCGUCUGCGUUGCCACUUCCCAGUGUCUCCAAAAUGUGCACACGCAUGACUCAGAGUUUGCUUACAGGUGCGCACAUUCUCCCACCAAUUUUAUUUUUAUAAAUCACAACCUUUGCGUGGUAAGUGGCGUACGCCACUUUCAAGCCCUGUUUUGUGCGUAAGCAAGCUUUAUAAAUGAGGCCCCAGAACACAUCUGGGGUGUCUUGAAACAAUAUUUCUCUUUCCUGUUUAUAUGUUCCUAAAAUAUCUUUUUUUGUUUUGUUUUCUAUCGUCACAGCAUCAUGUUCACCAUAGUUUGUCCUUUGUACUGAACUGUUCUGCUCUGUUCUAUUGUAUUUAAUUCAACAAAGAUUUUGGGGGGUGAAAAAUUGAACAUAUUUUUGUGGUAAAAUUGUUGACAUAAAAUGGCAGCAUGUUGAGACCACAAACAAAAAGUUUUCCCCGCUCAAAAUUAGACUUUUGCUGAAAUUAUCAUAUUGUUCACUUGUCAUACAGAUACUCAGCUUCAUCUAAUGUAAGACAAUAAAACAGACACAACUUUAAUGUUUUUCCAACAAAAUGGUGGCCUUGUUAGCAGGGGGGGGGGGUAAUAAUGUGUAAGCUGCAUCAUUAAGGCAGACGAGUGGAGCAUUAGCUGGUAAACAUCACGUUUAUACACUUUACACAGAAUUAAAAUCAAAACUGAAUUAAGUAAAAUAUUUACUGAAUGUGUUAGUGUCUGUUAAUGAGUUGUAAAAAAUGGUAAAUCAUUUUUCAGAAGAUGUAGAUGUUUAUCGUAAGCUAGCUCAAGCUAUGUUAAAUUUAACAACAUGCUAACAUAGCAAGGCAAGCUAAUCACUAACAUGCUCAUUUAAAAAGGAAAACAACCAAUGCCUUGAGAUGGCUGUCAGAGAUGACAGAGGUAUGAUCACGUUACACUGUCUGAAGUGUUACAGGUGCUGUAUUCCACGUUUUAUUUAAGAGGAUUAGCGUACCGUUACCUAACUUUUACAACUGGAAAACACCAGUUACGAUUCAGCUCCAGAAGUUGCGCCCAUAAUUCACACAAGGAUCAUGGAGGCUAGGAAUAUGGUGGAUAUUUUUCUGAGAGUUGUAGUUACAAUUAAUCAUGCGACAGUAAGUGCGUUAAUAUCCACUUGUUUUUAUGCACAUUUUUAAUUUCCUGUUGUAUGAGGUGCAAAGGUUGGGGUGUCAAUGAACACUUUAAAAGCUUUUUAAAGAUGGGCAGUAAGUAACAUUCCAUAAAUAUGGGCACAUUUGUUUCUCUUGUGAUCAGUAAUUAAUGUCCUCAAGAACCUGAAGAGUAAACAGUCUCUCAGCUUCCGUACAUUUGCACUAACAGCAGCAAUGAACAGUAACAAGCAGUGAUAGUUAACAGAGUCAGUGCAGUAACAGUAAAUCAGAGUUUGGCUCAUUCUCAUCAAGUAAAGGAGAAAAUAAAAAAAACUUUUUACACUCAAGCACAACUUCAUCAAAGCUAGUACACGUAAAAAAAAAAAAAAAAGCUUAACUCAAGGUGUUUCAAGUCAAAUGGUGACAGAAGGUUUUUCACUUUGUUGUGAUUUAACUGGUGACAUUAACUAGUAAAACUGCCUGGAAACCUUCUCUCCUGGUUCAAGUGGGAAUUUAACCUAAAAACAAGUAAAUUAUUCAUUCAACAUGUGAACACAAAUGUUAAUAUUUACAUCAUCAUUCAAGAGCUCACCUGUCUAACACAAAUACUGUUGGUCCAUCCAAACAGUCACUGCCCAGUGGAUGGAAACUCGCCUUCUUCUUCUACGUACACAACAAACCAAACUAAUUAACUCAGCCAGAAGGAAUGCAAAUAAAACUAAACCCAGGUGAGCAGAAACUUUCAAAAUGUCCACAGCAUGAAAUAAAAACCUUUCAGCUUCAACAGAGGAGGAGUCUUUGAGAAUUUGUUCUCCAGCCAGUGGCGCCCCCCAGAAAUUUCUCGUCAGUGUGGUCAGAUAGGGCCAUUCUGAAAAUCUUGGGGUGGCUCACCAAUACCAGAAGCCAUCACUGAACUUCAUGAAUUAGCUCAUGUUGUUAAAGUAUAGAGGCUAGUUGAAAACUAUGUUACUGUGGAGAGUUAAGGAAUCACAUACUGAUGUACUUUUGUUUCUUAUUUUACAAUAAAUGUUACUAAUUCUCUGAUGUGUAUAGACUAAUAAAGGUAAGGUUAUCAUUUUCA